GGAAGAUGGGCAUGGAUGUUAGCUCAGGGCCAGUCUUCCUCAGCAAAAAGAGGAGGAUUGGCAGCAGAUGUUAGCUGAGGGCUAAUCUUCCUCAAAAAAAAAAAAAAGAAAGAAAUGUGUCUUCUGAUUAAACCAAGCAUGUUUUCAUUACUCAAACUUUAAAGCACAUUGUCACAAUAACUCUCACUUGGUACCUGAUGUCUGACUGUACCUAUCCAGUGUCUGGACGCUCUGUAUUGUUGAACUUCUGAAGUUUUACCUGCUUUAUGAACUACUCGCAAACCUUGAACAUCAGCAUUUCCCUUACCAAAGUACCAAAAUAGGAACAAGCAUUGCUUCAACGCCUCACCCUUCCUUGUCUUAGGUCACGGCCGUAAAGGAUUGGAUUUUAGGCUCCUUUCCCCCUGGAAACCCUUACACCCCUGGUUUACCUUCACCUGUGGUGCCUUGUAUGAUGUAAAUACUAUUCCACAAUGACGCCCCUCCCCCAAGUCCUUUAUGGUUCUUUGAUAUUACUUAGAAGGUGAUUACAUAGCUUCAUUUAUUUCUUUGAAUGCACAGGUUUCAUGGUCAUUAAAAUAAUCACAGACUCAUCAGUUCUCCCCAUGCUUAAAUAAGAUCAACACAAACCAGAACAAGAGGCUUCUUCACUCUAUUCACCACGGUUUCUCUUCUCCUUCUCUCUUUCACACCCCCUCUCCUCCACUUUUCUCAUCCCUUCCCUUCUUCCCCACCCUCAAACUUGGCUUAUAGAAGAACGCAAUAAUUUUGUAAUAGUUCUUUCUGUAAUGACUCUAACAUUUAUUUAGCUGUUUUCCUAGACACAGGGAAGUGUUGCCUUUCCACAAACUGUCAGAGGCAGCUGUAGCAAUUUUGGCGUUUGCUAGAGGGAAAAAAAAAAGCCUGCUUGGCUCUGCCUUAAAAACCAGUUCAGCAAUGAAAUGGUUAAUCGGAUGAGUAAAGGCUAUUUUUAAGUCUGGCUCCCCUCUCUGAUGCACUCUUGAAAAUUCACCCUGUACUGCAGAAAUCCUAAAUUGCAGUGCCCUGCACCCCACUGAAACUCUUCAGUCUGCUGCACUAAAAAAAGAACAAUUAUUUCUAGAAACUAAAAAAAAGACAGAGAGAAGGAAAGGAAGGAAGAAUGGACGGCAGUUGCCUGGUUCGUGGUAUCAAGAUCUGUGCCGUCCAGAGGAAACGACACGUGAGCCUCCAUCCGGAUUCUGUGACUCACGUGCUUGUGACCACCAACUUCUGGUCACCCACCAAGUUUCAAAUAAUUUCCUAGAGCAGUUUAAAUAUUUAUUUGUGUGUGUGUCUGUGCUUUUUUGUAAUAUUUGGAUAAGGAAUAAUAGCAAUAAUGGAAACCUAAAAAUAAUUGAUGUGAUGGGGUACUGGACUGAUGAACAGACUUGUCUCUAAUUUCCUUUAUUCUUGUUACGAUAAUUGUGCAACAAAUGAAAAUAGUAAGGAAAACAGGUGACAGUGGAGAGUGGUGAAUGAGGAGGAAGGAGAGGGCAUGAGCCCGUUUUAGGAACAAGCAGUUCUCUAUAUGGCGGGCUCUCAGCUGUCCAGGUUCAAAAAACUCACAAUAAAAUGCUUUUGCAUUCAAGUUUACUAGAUUUGGAAGUAAAAGCCCUGUUCCAACCCCACUGCUUCCUGCUUCUUAGUUUCCCUGAGCUUCCAUCUCCUCCUCCACGAAUGGGGUCAUAACCUGCUCUUACCUAAUUUAUUUUGCAAAGAUGGAAAAGGAAAGUUCAAAUGAGGUAAUUAUGUGAAGAAAAAUGUUAUUUUAGGAUCCCGAGACUUUGUGUUUUUCAAUUAAUUAUAUUUGACGAUUGGAAUUACUUGGACUAGACAUAGAAUUUCCCAGUUGCUAGGGGGAGCUUGAUGUCAUGAUGAUGUUGGUCUGUUACAGCUGAUGGUGGUUAAUUUCUCUCUUUCAGGGAGUCAGCAAAGCCAUGGAAAUUUAGGCAUGGAUUUUGGAGUCAGAUAUGAUGUGUGUUUGGGAGGCCUCGGACCAUUAACUCAGGCUCCCUGAGCCUGUUUCCUGUUCUGUAAAACGGGGAUAGUAAAGCCUACCUUGCAGGGCUGCUAAAAAAUUGGGAAUAAUGUGUGUAAAGCACCAGACAUUGAGUUGGCCACGCAGUGAGCCCCGAAUCUACGGUGGCUGUUAUUGUUAUAAGAGCAUCAAUUUUUAAAUAUUCUCCCUCGUCUCCCCGCUCCCACAGUUCAUUCAUAAAAGCACAGGCUCCUGAUCCACUGUUCUUCCAGUCCUUGGGAGAAUUUUCUAACUCAGUACACUAGGAGCAAGGCCAAUAUCUUAGAUGAUUCUGUUCUAGAAAGGUGCUUAAACACAGUCAAGAUAUAGCGUAGUUUUACCAAGAAAGCGGGACUUUGCUAUAAACUAUCACCCUGGAGACAAGACUGAAAAAAAACAAAUCAAGGCCACGUGCCUACCCACAGCAGGAGAAAUAUACAAAGUCAAGAUUUCUGUCAGCAUAUUAUGCUUCUGGUUGUUUACAUAAAAACAUGUCUUGGACAGUAAUUAUGCAUUUUUCAGAACUGGGCCAGCUCUGGGAAUGCAAAGCUGAGAGGCAGCAGUCACUGCGGUUACUUUCAGUUUCAACUGUCAGGUUGGGAGUCAGAGGGGCAUGGGUUUGAACGCUAGUUUAGCACCAUAAGUGACCACUGGUCCACUGCUUACUAGCUAAGUGACGUGGUGCAAGCUGAUCAGUCUCUCAGAAAAUCAGUUUUUACAUUGGGAGUUGGAUAAAAACCAAGUGUCUGCUGCAGAGACAAAAGAAUGAAUUUGGAAAAUGAAUUAAAGGGCCUGGGUCUGGCACAUGAUAGGUGUAGGUGUUUAGAAGAUGGUAAUAGUGGUUGCUAUUAGCAGCGAUGAGAUGAAGUCUUCAUCUUGGAGGAAUGCUCGGCAUAGCAGCAGAAAAAAUGUACGCGAAUAAAGUCCUGAAUAAAUUCAAAGUAUGUGUUCACAGUGCUUCAGUAUUAUGAAAGCAGAAAGGGUGAAGCCCAUGUGACGAGGAAAGAUCGAAGGGGGCUUCAAAGAGAAACAUUUGAGCCUCACCUUGAAAGAUGGGUAGAAAUUCUCCAAGAGGAAAGGGAGAGAAGAAGCACAAGGUGGCACAAGGGUACAGAGGAUGAGGCUUGGGCAGGGAUGUUGUCCUGUGUCUUGAGUUAGCAGUGUCACAUGGUUAAGAAUGGUGGGAGAUGAGGUGGAAAGCCAGUGCUGCUCCAGGCUGGAAAUGGCUUUGUACACCCAAAUGCCACUGACCUUGGUUUCUUGAGCAAGAGACAGCCAAUGAAGUUGUGCUGGGCGUCCUCCAUUUGCUCCUCCAGUCAGCCUUCACUUACCUCCAUUUGCUCCUGAACUAGGGGGCUGAGCUGUUGCGGACCACAUCAACGAGCUCCCUCCCGCUCAGGCUUCCAGUAGGUUUUGGCCAACGGAACACAGGGAAGAAAUCAAAAGGAAGACUGAGACUGGGGUAUAUAUUCUUUUGACAAAAGAUCACAGCAUCCAUCAGGCCGCCUUCCCACACAGCUCUCUCUUCCUGGGAUCCAUGAGCCUCUCUCCCAAGGUCUCCCACAGAGAGGUGGUGAAUGCACCUCACCGGUACUGGUACCAAGUAUGGAACCAUCAUAAGAGAUGGUUUACAAAUAGUCCUUUUAUUACCUCUUCUUAAAUUACCCAAUUUGAAGUACCAAACGUUUCCUGCCAGGCCCCUGACUGAUAUAUAACUUAAAUAGGGAAUAAAGUCAAUGUGUUUCUGGGGGAGGGCUAGGGCAGAGAGACCAUGGCACUAACACCAGAAGACAUGAAGUCACAGGCCAUACAAUUUAUGUAAAGAACAAUGGUUUGUCUGUUCCUUUGUGGCUGCUAGUCUGGAACCACAUGGAGACAUGGCGUGGCUUCUUGGAGAGUGUCCUCAGCCUGGUCUCUAAGUGAGCCACUCAUGACGAGAUUGAAGGGUGACCCUGUGAAAUGCUGUUACCCAUCUCCAUGAGUGGACUGACUUCAAGAGGAAGGCCUUGAAAUAAGCCGUCUCAUGUCAAAUUGUUCUUCUUAUUAGGAUAGCUACAGAAGAUGGACAAAAGGUGGAAGUGUUGUGAGUGACUGAUGCGGCCAACUUAAGAAGAAAAGUCCCCUUUUCUAGGCCUGUUUUUCCUUUGCAAGGAACCAACAGAGUUUCUCUUCUCCACCUCGGCCCUUCAUCUUACCCCAGGAAGGUAGGAACCGGCUACUCCCUCUCUUCCCACUGCUGUCCAUCCUGUGCUCUGGGAAGCACAGUUACUUUUUAUGGCUCUCCCCAGGGAGUUUGAAUUUUGAGCCUCAGCUUUAAUUAUGUAAUGAAAACAUAUGUUUCCUAUUGCAAGAAUUUUAGACAGCAGUGAGGAGGAGGGAGAGAUGGGGUGAGGCUGUGAGGGGAGAGAGGACUAAGUGACUUCCACUGAGCAGUAAUUACAGCGGAGAGUAGAAGACCAUUCGCAGACCUGCGAGGCCGAGCUGGAAGCAUUUCAUUCAAUAAUCAUUUAGCAUUGAGAGCUGUGUAUGCAGGGCACUGCCGAGCUUUGGGGAAAUACAAAGUGGAGUGGAGGGGGGAUAGUGUGAGAAGAGGGAUGAGACCUGUACACACAUGUGUGAGUAGGUGAAGGAACUAGGAUGCGGGUUUAGAAGACGAGAUGAGAUCAGGUUGCAGGAACUUGAUUAUAGAGACAGUAUUUGAAUCAGGUCUUGAAAGACGGGUAGACAUGGAAGUAGCAGGGGUUUUCUGGGCAGCCUUCCCCAUCCUUGCCACUUCCCUUGCCCUGCUCCCCCAAAGCAAUGAACCUGCUUCAUUGUGUUUAGAGAACAAGUUCAAAUAUUUGAUGAGUAAGUAUUACAUAGAUAAAAUUUAACCAGGAUAUGCUUCAGGGUGGUCUAUGACAAAUCAUAUUUUGCGUAGGCUUCUUCGCCUCAACCACACCAGCGGUAAAUAAAUAUUUGCUUCUAAUUACAGAAUUAAUACACAAAUAGUUUUUGAUCAUAAAAAGAUUCAAGCAUUAUAGGCAUAACAGAAGUUCUCUUUGAAAUCACCACCCCCAAACCCAUAUUUACUUCUAGAAGUAUAUUGUUCUGUGUGUGGGUCUGUGGUUACGUAAUGGUAUCGUACUGUGUGUUCGUGCUACAGUCUGCAUUUAUUACUCAAUAUAUCUUGGAGCUCAUUCUAAGUGGCUUCACAGAGAUCUACCCUCAUUCUUUGUAAUCCUACCUACAUUUGUUUGUUUCUCGGGAUAGUUUUGGAAACACUUUCCAUAACUCUUUUGGAAACUUUCCUUACAAUAAGAAUCACCCAGAAACAUUCAGAGCCCUCCCCAAGACUGGUUUUCCAUAGGAUUGGGAAGAAGGUUGGAGAAAUUAUUUGCAGCCAACAUCCCAGCAACCUGGAGCCCCUGAAAUGGUCGUGACUGCCCCAACGAUCAAAACUUCUGUGGACAGCUGUGAAAGCAAAAGAGAAGACUGACCUGAGAAGGACAUUUUGUCCCCUGACUGUUGGUACAGAAUACCUGAGGCAGGAUGUGUGUGUCCAGAGGACACAGCCUGCCAUGUCUGAGGCUAUCCUUCUGCCUAGCAGCCCGGGUUGUGGGGUAAGAGCUGAGGCUGGAUUGGAGAAAUUAGAAUACACUAUAUCUUUUUUCCUUUUGACAGUGCAACCUCUUCCUAGGGAAGGCUCAAAAACCUUGGAUAUCAUAUCAUUCCACAAAAGGAAAGUUUGCUGAGUUUGUUUUUAAUAUAUCAGAAACAUAUGUAUUAAAUUCCGUUAAAAUGCAGAGAACUUUUUAGUAUCAUAGAACUUAGUAAAUAUUUUCCACUUUAAAGUUGUGUCCUUUGACAAGUCAGAGAACACGUCUUUGGUUUCUGUCCCGUAUAUGAGAUAAAUACCACAAAUGUGUUUUGGAAAAGAAAGCAAAUUUAAAAAAGGAAAUAAAGCAAGCCAAAGACCCAUCACAAUUACUACAACAGAAUGAAGAACAAUUGGGUGUAGCAAGAAGGAACUCUUCCUUAGAUCCUAGUAGAUGUGCCGUGGGUAUGGUAAAAGCAUAACGAAACUAGCAAUUUCCACUGGACACUGUGGAGGGGAUGGGGAGAGAAACGGAGAGGGAGGAUGGUGCCUGCUGACUGGAAAGGCCUUACUCCUGCCCUUGGGUUAAGGCUUCCUGGGAGGCCUUCACAUACCACCAAGGAGUUCCAUCCAGGGAUUAUCCAGUUUCCCAUGAUGAUGUUUAAUUUGGGGGUUUUCUCAAUUUUUGAGCCUGAGUCUCUGUUUAUGACUGAGUUCGUGCCAAAUUGUGUUACUUUCCCUGUACCUGGCUAACAGGAGAAGAUCGUUAGUAGACCUGACACAUAAGAGACACGCUGGUAGCAUGCAAAGGCCGAGGAGUUGCACAGGCAGCUGUGGAAGGAGGAUUCACAGAGAAGCAGUAAGAAAUUGGGUCAUCAACCAGCACUCAGUGGCUUGGGCAUGGGGACCCACGAGAACCUGCUGUAGCCUAUGCUCUUGAAGAGCUGAGAUUCAGUUUCAGCAAAACGUCACCAGCUGUCACAUUACGUUAGUGUUCAUUUGAAUUGCACUGGUUUUGUGAUUUCGUUUUCAUUUAAAGUUAUUCUUACUUUAUUGUUGCCUAAGUUGUAUGUAUAUAAGGAGCUAAUAUAUAAAAAUCAUAUUAUAGUAUUUAAACGAC
RNAcentral lists this long non-coding RNA (6735 nucleotides) under Equus caballus (horse). RNAcentral's name for it is "lncRNA (ENSECAG00000055406.1)". The record is from RNAcentral. Lineage: Eukaryota; Metazoa; Chordata; Mammalia; Perissodactyla; Equidae.